RNAcentral lists this transfer RNA (118 nucleotides) under Candidatus Woesearchaeota archaeon. RNAcentral describes it as "tRNA-Lys". It matches the Rfam family "tRNA". Rfam says of the family: Transfer RNA (tRNA) molecules are approximately 80 nucleotides in length. Their secondary structure includes four short double-helical elements and three loops (D, anti-codon, and T loops). The record is from RNAcentral. Lineage: Archaea; Nanobdellati; Candidatus Woesearchaeota.
GGGCCCGUAGCUCAGCUUGGUAGAACCCUUUUUAGAAAAAAGCGUUCACGGAAAAAAGGAUGCCAGAAGCAACAGCCUUUUAAGCUGUGGGUCGCGCGUUCGAAUCGCGUCGGGCCCG